Coturnix japonica (Japanese quail) is the source of this 3326-nucleotide non-coding RNA. The record is from RefSeq and is a predicted model, not a curated record. NCBI's taxonomy places the organism in Eukaryota, Metazoa, Chordata, Aves, Galliformes, Phasianidae.
GUUUCACAAGUGGCUGCAAAUAGCCCAGAAAUGCCUUUUUGUAAAGGAAUAAGCGAAUAAAAGGAAAUGAAUCUCAUUCAUCACUGCGAGAACGGCCGGGACAGCAAAUCCUGUUGUUUGUCAGAGGAAUUACUCAGCCAGGCCACAACCACCUUCUUGCUGCUAAAGCCUCCCCCAGCCGUGCAGUCUGAGCGCCGUGGGUUUGGUGUUUCUCAAAGCCCACCCAAUAACCGCCCCAAGGAGGCGCUGCCAUCUGCCUGGAGGUGGAAACUGGGCUCUGUUUAUUCCUCCUCUCCUCUCGCUGAGCCAGCCCAGGCCCCAGGAGGCAGCAAUGGUUCAUUAAGCCGAGACCAUCAAUGAAUUGCAGGAGCUGCUGCUGGAGCCCACGAGAGGGCGUUGCUUCCUGGGAGCCGCUGGUGGAGAUGGAGCAAAACUUCCUUUCUAAGUAGCGAUUCCCAAAGUUCCGUUCCUUGCCGUAGUUCUCUGUGUCAUUUUCCCCCCUCUGGCUUUUUUACAUCACAAUUCAAACGGCGGCCUUCAAAAAACAGCUGACUCCAAACAAAAUCAGCCACUUCUACACUAACAUGGGGGGAAAAAAAGCACCGUGUAAAGCUGGGGUUCUUGUCAUCGUCAGAAGUCUGAAGAACCGUGGUGAUAAUGAGAAACAGUGCUAAAAAUGGGCAGAGGGGGAGCACAGGGCACGAAUGGAGCCUCAGCUGUUUGUGUGCUCCUCAAACGUCACAAAGUCGUCCUGGCACAAUCCCAGCCCCCCUGAGCUCACUGCAGGCUGCUGGGCCUGACUGCAAACUGCAGCAGCUCCGGGCUGCAGCAACACCCCGUGCAAGCUGCAGCAGGACGGGAUGCAGGACGAGCCCUGACAGCAGCCAGGCCUGCCACGCUGCAGCGCUGAUGUAAAUCACAUGCAAAGCUCCGAGCAGCACCGGGACACACCGGGGGAACCGGAGAGACCGGAUCUGUGACGCAACACGGCAGCGCUGGAGCCCCGUGGGGCUGCGCUGGCGAUGGAAUCACGGAGGAGCCAGGGACGGGUGUGUGCAGAUGAGCUUCCACUGCAGCCCGCCGUGGCCUGCCGUGGUUUGGGGGCAUUGUCCAUUCGUCCCCUCCCAUCCUGCUCUCAUCGACUGUGGGCACUGUGGUCAUUGCACAAAUAAAAGCAAAGCAAGGCAGACGGGUUACAGGACUGCCUAUGUAGACAGAAGAAUUCGCUGAAGGCCACGGAACCAGAAGCCGGGCGGCAUCCUGUGACUCCCAGUCUGGUGCUUUGAUUGCUGACUGCUCCUGCUUUACAUGCUAGCGUCGCCGGCUCACUGAAAAUGUCGGGUAAAACAGCCAGCACCACCAACAACAUAGCUCAGGCCCGGAGGACUGUCCAGCAGCUGAGAAUAGAAGCCUCGAUAGAAAGAAUAAAGGUGUCAAAGGCAUCAGCAGACCUAAUGCUCUACUGCGAAGAACACGCCAAGAAAGAUCCGUUGCUGAUGGGCAUUCCUGCUUCUGAAAACCCAUUCAAGGACAAGAAGACGUGCAUUUUGUUGUAGGGGCACAGCGGUGCCUCCGCAGCUCCCUGGGGCAGGGCAAGCCGCAGGCACAUGUGUAGGCAAACAACCUGUAAGGUACCCGGUAUUCACUGUCCUCUUCUCACGUGUAGAAACGAUCUCUUAGGCUUUCUAAAGCAUUUCUUCUGCUCCCAGUCUCCGGUAGGAAGCGAGAUUUCACACUCCAUCACUUCUCCCUUGGCCAGAGGAGCGGGGUCCCACUGCAGAGCCAUGGCUCCGAUUGCGCUCCUGCUGUGCCCCCACACACACAAACCAAAGCUGCCCGGCUUUGCUGCAGAACAGAGCCGGGCUAAGAGUUGGGAUCCCCAUUAUUAAACAUCGGUGGUGUCACGCUUGUUGAAACCACGUGUGUAUGCAGAGCAGGGCCUCCCUCUGCAGCCUUCAGGUGUGCAUCUGUGCACGUUCACACUUGGAAGUGCAUUACCAAGCAACAGCUACCUUGAGAAAUGAUGGUAGUGACUGCUGGAGAGCUCCAGGCUCCUGCUGACACCCUUGGUGCACCCGUUGCUCUUGGCAGGGUUUUGGUUAUGUAAAACCCAAUGGGUUGAGGGUCAGGUAGCCGAUGGUUUAUUUCCUGGCCUUCGAGAGGAGCUGAAAAAGCAGCUUUCCGUUUUAAUUCUGUUUUUCUCAUCUCUCUCAUCAACAGUCUGUGUUGGUAUUGAAAAGAGGGAAGCUGUCAGAGGGAUUGGAGGUGCCAGGCUCGUGGCUGGUGUCCUUGUGGUGGACUUUGCGGUGUGGUUCUGCCUUGUGCCAUAUGUGCUCAACAUUUGGCUCUGUCCUAAAUCCCUGCUUCUUCCAGGGGAAAAAAAGGCCAAAGUGCACCCAGGUAGUGGCUGUGCAGGUGUAACGGGGGCCUUUCUGUUGAGGAAGUCAUUUGAUGUGUAUACACCAUAAAAACAAGUCCUUGCGUGUGUGUACAUGGAUCAGUGUUUAAAAACCCCAACAAUAUUAGUACAGACGCUGCAUACGAACAGCAGAUUUCAGGGGACCCGCAAUGAUUCCUCCUUUCUCUGUAGCUGUGGGCCAGGGCCGGAGCUGUGAGCGGCCAUCGCUGCGCCUUCCUGUAAGGCUGCUUACAGGGCUUAUUAACCACUUGUAAUUAACUGUCCCACGUCGCCUAUUUGUCAUUUCUAUAUUAAAUUAUAUACGCACUGUUGAUAAUAUAUUGAGAAAUGAUAUAUUUGUUUAACGAGGCUCUUUAACAAACAGCUCAGAAAUGCGAACGCGAGGCUGGCAGUAGGAGCACUGUCCUUCUUACUCUGUGCUUACGCUCAAAUGAGUUUUAUAACCGGACUAUUUUUCUAGCGAUGAUUUCCAAGCCAUGGUGCAGAUCCACACUUAUUUCGGCUUUUUUUUACUCCGUUUGAGUCUCGUUUUGUAACACAUCUUGUCAGACACAGCCGGUGGCUGAGCUGGGGCGGCACACACAGGGACGGGGCCUUGUGCUGUACCCAAAUGUUGCUCCUUCCAGGAGCCCUCAGCACUGCUGGAGCCAAUGUGUGGUUCUGGAUCUGGUUGAUGGAGCUCUUUUCCACCCAGAAGGGCUCUGUGAUUCAGUGGCUGUGCAGUGCCGGGGUGACGCCUGGCUUUGUCCCAGUGCUGUCUGUGAGCCGGUACCCACACGAGGUCCGGCGGUGCUGCUCCUGGAGGCCGGAGCUGUGCCGCCCCUCGUCCUUCCCCCUGCGGCGCCGUCCCCACCCAGCACACAGGGUGCUUACCUUUGUACUUUCUAAUAAAGAAUCCUGGCACGGA